Jatropha curcas is the source of this 2786-nucleotide RNA transcript. It is a transcript of the gene named RNA-binding KH domain-containing protein RCF3, with no coding region annotated. The record is from RefSeq and is a predicted model, not a curated record. Lineage: Eukaryota; Viridiplantae; Streptophyta; Magnoliopsida; Malpighiales; Euphorbiaceae.
GGUUCCCAGCUUUAUCACUGAGUCGGAGCCCACGUAAUGUCUUUUAUCUCCGACGACGCAAUAUCAGAGUGUGUAUAGAAACCUAGUUGCAGCGGAAAUCGUGCGGGCAAGCUACAAGAAAAUUUCUGCUCAAGCACGAGAAUUGAUUUGCUGUUUCGAAGUCACUGUAAACUAAUAGUAUGUCUACAGCACUAACACCUUCUAAGAGGCCACAUGAACGGAACGCUGCAGAGACAAAUGGAAAAGGAAAGUGGCAAAAGACAGCAGGACUUAAUUCCCCCAACCAACCAGGGAAAUUCUCUUCUGGUGGCGUUGUUUUCCGAAUACUCUGUCCCGCUUCCAAAACUGGCAGUGUUAUUGGGAAAGGUGGUUCCAUCAUAUCACAAAUCCGUCAAGAAACUGGUGCAAAGGUUAGAGUUGAGGAAACUGUCCCUGGAUGUGAUGAGAGGGUAGUUGUUAUUAUGGGUUCUGAUAAGGAGAUGGAAGUCAAUGCUGAACCAAAUGAGAAGAAUGGUGAUAAAGAGGCUAAUGUAGCUGAAGAGGGUGAUGAUAAAAAGGAUGGUGGUGAAAAUGAUGAAAGUGAAGAAACUGUUCCUGCAGUUGACUCGUCAAAGUCUGUAAAGGAAACCUCAUCCCUGCAGAAAGCUUUGGUACUUGUCUUUGAAAGAAUAGUUGAAGCAGAGCCAGAGAUAGAUGGAAGGGAUGAGGAAAACAACAAGCCUUCUAUGUUCAUUUUGAGGUUGCUUGUGCUUUCCAGUCAAGUUGGCUGCCUUUUGGGAAAGGGUGGCAGUGUAAUCAAGCAAAUGUCAGCAGAAAGUGGGGCACAGAUUCGAAUUCUUCCUAGAGAUAAACUUCCUACAUGUGCAUCACCUUCUGAUGAACUAGUUCAGAUCACAGGAGAGGUUGGAGCAGUUAGGAAAGCUCUUCAAUCUGUUGCUCAACAGCUUUUCGAGAAUCCGCCCAGGGAACAUGACUCUUUCCCUGCCAGUUCUACAUGGCCUUCAUCUCAUUCAUUUGGCCAUCCUCCUCCUAGGUCAGAAGCAUAUCCCCCACCAUACCAUUCUUUUAAUACUCGGGGAACAACUUAUGGUGCUGGACCUCGGGAUUUUCAUGAAAGUGGUAUUCCUGGUCGAAUGAAGCCUGCUCCAGAUAUAAUAACCUUUCGCUUAUUGUGUCUUGAUGAGAAGGUAGGAGGUGUCAUUGGAAAAGGAGGAAACAUUAUAAAAACCCUUCAGCAAGAAACAGGCUGUGACAUCAAAGUUUUGGAAGGGGUUUCUGAUUCAGAGGACCGCAUUAUUCUCAUAUCUGGUCCAGCGCACCCAGAGGAUAGGGUAUCAGCUGCACAAGAUGCAGUUCUUCGUGUGCAAACCAGGAUUGCAAGGGCUUUACCUUUACCUGAGGGUAAAGAUAAGCCUGUGAUUGCAAGGAUUCUUGUCUCAUCUAAUCAAAUUGGUUGUCUCCUUGGCAAGGGUGGUGCCAUCAUGGCAGAAAUGAGGAAAUCAACUGGUGCAUACAUUCGGAUAUUGGGGAAAGAUCAAAUUCCAAAAUGUGCUUCAGAAAAUGAUGAAGUGGUUCAGAUUAAUGGGGAAUAUGAAGUAGUUCAAGAAGCUCUUGUGCAGAUAACGACCAGGUUGCGCAAUCAUUUCUUUCGUGAUGUAUUUCCUACAAUAGACCAUCCUUCCAAUUCUACCUUUCUGGAUCAAGUGCCUCCAUUUCCUCCAUAUAUGGGGAGAAGGGAACUCUCACCUUCCUUCCAUGGAUUUCACAACUUUGAUGGCAUGGGUGGUCCGCCUCCACAUACUGGUUUCCAUCCACAUGAUGAUCCUUUUAUGCACAAUAUACAUAGAUCAGGCAUGCCUCUGCAUAUAUCUGAAAGAAAACCUUGGGGUCCUCAGGGACUUAUGGAAGGCGGUGCCCCAAUGGGUUUGCCAGACUUUGGAGGACCUGCUCAAAGAAGAAUAUCAGGUUUUGGAGGGGUAAACCAUCCAGCUGUUAUUACAAGCACUACUGUUGAAGUAGUUGUUCCCCGUUCUGUGGUCCCUGCAAUAUAUGGAGAAGACGGUACGUGCUUAAAACAAAUUCGCCAGAUUUCAGAUGCAAAAAUUACAAUUACUGAGCCCAAGCCUGGAGCAGCAGAAACUGUGGUUAUAAUAUCAGGGACGCCUGAACAGACCCAUGCAGCUCAGAGUCUUAUUCAAGCAUUUGUGAUGAGUGAAAGAGAGUCCGCUUCAUCUUUAUAAUAAGAAGUUCAUGGAAGGAUCUAAAUUAGUAACUGUUGAAAUUUGAUAUCUUACUGAAGAUUCUGAAGAUUGGAGCUUGCCACGAAUAUAUUUUGGCUGUUUUUAAUAUUUGGAAUUACCUUUGUUCUUCCCAGUUUUGUCUUCAACAAUCAUGAUACUGUCCUUUGAUGAAUAUAUUUUAUUGGCUGACUACAGUUUAAGCGUGAAUGCUAAAAUGGCUGACAUGAUUGACUAGGUUUUGACAUGAUACUUUGAUUCCAGAUGCUGUUGCUUGCCAACUGAAAUUUUUCUUGUUUUUGAGACAUGUUCCUGUGCUGACUGAAUCAACGUUGCUAGGUUAAGGCCUUUCUACUGCUUAACACUUUUGUUUGCAGUUAAGCAUUCACAUAAUGUUCUGUUGGUUGUAUUAACUCUUGCCCCAUUUUUAUCAGAGUCUGAGUAAUUUUGAUGGAGAAAAUGAAGAAAGCAUUGCUUCUCCAGUUUUAAUUGAUAGAUGAGUACAAGUGAUUUGUUACUGUAGGAAUAAAAAUACAGACUUAUCUGCUA